This 654-nucleotide long non-coding RNA is filed under the name Pan troglodytes (chimpanzee). RNAcentral describes it as "long non-coding RNA NONPTRT000157". The record is from RNAcentral. Lineage: Eukaryota; Metazoa; Chordata; Mammalia; Primates; Hominidae.
GGGCCUGAUGGGGGAUGGCCUGGAAUGAGAGGGUCAAGCCAGGCCUGGGGGGCCUGUUGGGGGAUCUGGGGAGCUGGACAGAGGGUGGAGGGUGGCUGGCAGGUGACUCCUUCUCAGAUGUCAGUGCCCCUCUGCUCAGACCUGGGCACUGACUGGCAAGGACCUUACCUCCUCCUGGUGACAGGAACCUAGGUGCUUGGCUCUUCCUGGGUCAAGGAUGCUCACAUCCUGCCCACACCGGCCACUGUGGGGCUUAGACAUGUUGACUCUAAAUCUCUUUCUUUCCUGGAUGAGGGAGCGUGUUUCAGGAACAACCCAGAAACAUCAAGCAAGGAAACUGGGGUAAAUCCCCAGGCUGGGGGAAAGCAGGGGGUCUCCAGGUUAAACCCAGGCCUCUGGAGGCAAAGCACAGGGCAGGGCCUUGUUGCUGCCUCCACCAUCAUGCUCCUGAGGAGCCCCACCAAGGUCCAGAGGAGAGAGGCCAGGUGCCCGUCCUACCCUGGGUGAGUCUCAGCCCUUUGCUUCCGCAGCCCAGCUUCCAGCUCCAGGGCCCAAGAAGGGACCUGCCGCCAUCCUUGUGUCUGGGAGGGCCUGUGUCGGGCCCCUGCACCGAGGGGCUUCCUCUGUCUCUCUGGGGGUGGCUGUGGGCUGGAG